Molecule: ribosomal RNA, 1101 nt
Filed under: Francisella endosymbiont of Dermacentor compactus
Lineage: Bacteria; Pseudomonadati; Pseudomonadota; Gammaproteobacteria; Thiotrichales; Francisellaceae
Description: bacterial SSU rRNA
Rfam family: Bacterial small subunit ribosomal RNA
Source: RNAcentral
UAAUACCGCAUAGUAUCUGUGGAUUAAAGGUGGCUUUUGGGCUGUCGCAGAUGGAUGAGCCUGCAUUGGAUUAGCUAGUUGGUGGGGUAAGGGCCUACCAAGGCUACGAUCCAUAGCUGAUUUGAGAGGAUGAUCAGCCACAUUGGGACUGAGACACGGCCCAAACUCCUACGGGAGGCAGUAGUGGGGAAUAUUGGACAAUGGGGGUAACCCUGAUCCAGCAAUGUCAUGUGUGUGAAGAAGGCCUUAGGGUUGUAAAGCACUUUAGUUGGGGAGGAAAGCUUUGAGGUUAAUAGCCUUGAGGAAGGACGUUACCCAAAGAAUAAGCACCGGCUAACUCUGUGCCAGCAGCCGCGGUAAUACGGGGGGUGCAAGCGUUAAUCGGAAUUACUGGGCGUAAAGGGUCUGUAGGUGGUUUGUUAAGUCAGAUGUGAAAGCCCAGGGCUCAACCUUGGAACUGCAUUUGAUACUGGCAAACUAGAGUACGGUAGAGGAAUGGGGAAUUUCUGGUGUAGCGGUGAAAUGCGUAGAGAUCAGAAGGAACACCAAUGGCGAAGGCAACAUUUUGGACCGGUACUGACACUGAGGGACGAAAGCGUGGGGAUCAAACAGGAUUAGAUACCCUGGUAGUCCACGCUGUAAACGAUGAAUACUAGCUGUUGGGGUCGGUGUAAAGGCUCUAGUGGCGCAGCUAACGCGAUAAGUAUUCCGCCUGGGGACUACGGCCGCAAGGCUAAAACUCAAGGGAAUUGACGGGGACCCGCACAAGCGGUGGAGCAUGUGGUUUAAUUCGAUACAACGCGAAGAACCUUACCUGGUCUUGACAUCCUGCGAGCUUUCUAGAGAUAGAUUGGUGCCUUCGGGAACGCAGUGACAGGUGCUGCACGGCUGUCGUCAGCUCGUGUUGUGAAAUGUUGGGUUAAGUCCCGCAACGAGCGCAACCCCUAUUGAUAGUUACUAUCAUUAAGUUGGGUACUCUAUUGAAACUGCCGCUGAUAAGGCGGAGGAAGGUGGGGACGACGUCAAGUCAUCAUGGCCCUUACGACCAGGGCUACACACGUGCUACAAUGGGUAUUACAGAGGGCUGCGAAGGAGCGAUCU